RNAcentral lists this non-coding RNA (690 nucleotides) under Pan troglodytes (chimpanzee). Lineage: Eukaryota; Metazoa; Chordata; Mammalia; Primates; Hominidae. The record is from RNAcentral.
GGGAGCUUAGAUGUGGAAGCUCUUUGGAAACCAAGAAACACUCUGCAAAUGAAAAGGAUACCAACUUCAUCUCUCUUUAAGAAUACAAUAUUAGUUUAAAAGAUUGUUCAACUUAAAGCAAUCUUGUAGAGAUUGUCACCCAUGAUUGAUGCUGGCAUAAGAAUGUUUAUCACAGCAUGGCAUAUAUUGGAAGUUUAGUAAAUGAAGAUACAUCCAAUCUGACAUUCCAUUCACAACCACAAAGAGAUAACGUAGAAACAUAUUUAGUAAUGUGAGAAAAUACUAAAUAUUAAGUGAAAAAGGUGGAAGAGUAAACUGUUCCUGUUUCUCCAUCUUGACAGGAAGCAGAAGUUCUCCUUAGCUGAUUUUUCUUCUUGCCUUAUACUGGGUUCUUUAACACCAGAACAAAAAUAAAUAAAUAAAAGAAUCUUCCAGAAAUUCAUGAAGAGACUUCAGGUCAGGAAAGCCUGAACUUUCUCAUCCAACACCUGUUCAAGUCGGAGGAUGCUGAUUAAUUCAUGAUGGAAAGGUAUCAAUUUCACAGCCCAGACCUCUACAUUCUUGAAAUGCUCUUCUCAUGGGAGACAUUAAAUAAGCUUUGAAUUAACUGAAGAACCAAUGAUGUGAUCCCUGGAUACUGGCAAUUGUUGCCCAAGAAACCCUCUCCCCUUGCUAUGGGAGUGCUGGGCA